RNAcentral lists this ribosomal RNA (500 nucleotides) under uncultured Glomeromycotina. RNAcentral's name for it is "partial small subunit ribosomal RNA". It matches the Rfam family "Eukaryotic small subunit ribosomal RNA", at positions 591 to 1092 of the family's 1831-position model. Lineage: Eukaryota; Fungi; Glomeromycota. The record is from RNAcentral.
CCAAUAGCGUAUAUUAAAGUUGUUGCAGUUAAAAAGCUCGUAGUUGAAUUUCGGGGUCAGUAGGUUGGUCGUGCCACUGGUAUGCACUGGUCUCACUGAUUCCUCCCUCUUGUAGAACCGUAAUGCCAUUAAGUUGGUGUUGCGGGGAAACAGGACUGUUACUUUGAAAAAAUUAGAGUGUUUAAAGCAAGCUAACGCUUGAAUACAUUAGCAUGGAAUAAUGAAAUAGGACGUUCGACCCUAUUUUGUUGGUUUCUAGGAUUGACGUAAUGAUUAAUAGGGAUAGUUGGGGGCAUUAGUAUUCAAUUGUCAGAGGUGAAAUUCUUGGAUUUAUUGAAGACUAACUACUGCGAAAGCAUUUGCCAAGGAUGUUUUCAUUAAUCAAGAACGAAAGUUAGGGGAUCGAAGACGAUCAGAUACCGUCGUAGUCUUAACCAUAAACUAUGCCGACUAGGGAUCGGAUGAUGUUAAUUUUAUAAUGACUCAUUCGGCGCCUUACG